GCCUCCUUAGCUCAGUUGGUAGAGCAACGGUCUUGUAAACCGUAGGUCGCGAGUUCGAGUCUCGCAGGGGGCU
This 73-nucleotide transfer RNA is filed under the name Nanchangia anserum. It matches the Rfam family "tRNA". From Rfam's summary of the family: Transfer RNA (tRNA) molecules are approximately 80 nucleotides in length. Lineage: Bacteria; Bacillati; Actinomycetota; Actinomycetes; Actinomycetales; Actinomycetaceae. The record is from Rfam by way of RNAcentral.